Claviceps citrina is the source of this 106-nucleotide non-coding RNA. Lineage: Eukaryota; Fungi; Ascomycota; Sordariomycetes; Hypocreales; Clavicipitaceae. The record is from the annotation of a GenBank genome assembly.
GGUGAGAUGGCCGAGUUGGUUAUGGCGUCAGGUUAAGGUUUCAACCUCAGCAGUAACAUUCAUCCUGAUGGAGAAAUCCGCCUGGGUUCGAGUCCCAGUCUCAUCA